RNAcentral lists this transfer RNA (73 nucleotides) under Stegodyphus mimosarum. It matches the Rfam family "tRNA". Rfam says of the family: Transfer RNA (tRNA) molecules are approximately 80 nucleotides in length. Their secondary structure includes four short double-helical elements and three loops (D, anti-codon, and T loops). The record is from Rfam by way of RNAcentral. Lineage: Eukaryota; Metazoa; Arthropoda; Arachnida; Araneae; Eresidae.
GCCUUCGUGGUGUUGGGGUCAGAACGCUCAUCUCGUAUUCGAGAGGUCCGUGGUUCGAGUCCUGGCGAGGGCA